Molecule: ribosomal RNA, 253 nt
Filed under: uncultured bacterium
Lineage: Bacteria
Description: partial 16S ribosomal RNA
Rfam family: Bacterial small subunit ribosomal RNA
Source: RNAcentral
UACGGAGGAUCCAAGCGUUAUCCGGAAUCAUUGGGCUUAAAGGGUCCGUAGGCGGUUUAAUAAGUCAGUGGUGAAAUCUGGUCGCUCAACGAUCAAACGGCCAUUGAUACUGUUAGACUUGAAUUAUUGGGAAGUAACUAGAAUAUGUAGUGUAGCGGUGAAAUGCUUAGAUAUUACAUGGAAUACCAAUUGCGAAGGCAGGUUACUGCCAAUAUAUUGACGCUGAUGGACGAAAGCGUGGGGAGCGAACAGG